GGAUGCGACCAUACCAGCACUAAAGCACCGGAUCCCAUCAGAACUCCGAAGUUAAGCGUGCUUGGGCGAGAGUAGUACUAGGAUGGGUGACCUCCUGGGAAGUCCUCGUGUUGCAUUCC
This 119-nucleotide ribosomal RNA is filed under the name Aegilops tauschii subsp. strangulata. Lineage: Eukaryota; Viridiplantae; Streptophyta; Magnoliopsida; Poales; Poaceae. The record is from RNAcentral.